GCUCCACUGGGGUACUCGCCAGCAAAGCGUAUUCCUGAGCCGAUAUUUUAUCUUAGGAUUUGGGCGACAAUGCUUUGUUGUGCAUGCCUGCAUCUUUUUGAUGUAUCAGGAAGCCGUAAUAAGCAUGGCUCUUAUCCGCCUUGAACUUCACGGUUCAUGGUUUCCCUUUGUAGCGGUACCUUGGUUUUUUU
This 191-nucleotide non-coding RNA is filed under the name Moraxella catarrhalis. RNAcentral describes it as "6S RNA". It matches the Rfam family "6S / SsrS RNA". Rfam says of the family: E. coli 6S RNA was the first non coding RNA to be sequenced, but its function was unknown until recently. It consists of 184 nucleotides that fold into an extended hairpin structure with a large single-stranded internal bulge. Lineage: Bacteria; Pseudomonadati; Pseudomonadota; Gammaproteobacteria; Moraxellales; Moraxellaceae. The record is from RNAcentral.